UGGUCUUUGAAGUUUGACAGCUCUCUGGG
This 29-nucleotide non-coding RNA is filed under the name Mus musculus (house mouse). The record is from RNAcentral. Lineage: Eukaryota; Metazoa; Chordata; Mammalia; Rodentia; Muridae.